Molecule: microRNA, 22 nt
Filed under: Mus musculus (house mouse)
Lineage: Eukaryota; Metazoa; Chordata; Mammalia; Rodentia; Muridae
Also listed under: 1 other name
Description: mmu-miR-190a-3p
Gene: mmu-miR-190a-3p
Source: miRBase by way of RNAcentral
ACUAUAUAUCAAGCAUAUUCCU